GUUAAAUAAAGAAUAUAUAGUUAUAAACAUUCCAUUCUGCAGGUGGAAUUAAUAAUAAUUAUAUAUUAAUGUGAUAUUAUCACGUGUUAGCAUACCGCUGUUUUUAUCCAGGUGUAUUGAUUUGCUCUAAAUAAGAUAACAUAUCUUUUUAGACAAAUUAAAAUUCGGCUUUUUGUAAAAAUCUGGUAGAUUAUUCUUAUUGGAUGGUUCCAGGAAAUGACUAAUGAGUUGGUUCAAAUGUUAUUUUAAUUGAAAAUCACAGGAGAAUAGGAUACUAUAUGCCUAGGAGGAUCUAGCCAGCAUUGAAAGGCUUACUCAGUUG
Non-coding RNA from Pelobates cultripes (western spadefoot toad), 322 nucleotides. The record is from the annotation of a GenBank genome assembly. Lineage: Eukaryota; Metazoa; Chordata; Amphibia; Anura; Pelobatidae.